UACGAAGGGGGCUAGCGUUGUUCGGAAUUACUGGGCGUAAAGCGCACGUAGGCGGAUCGAUCAGUCAGGGGUGAAAUCCCAGGGCUCAACCCUGGAACUGCCUUUGAUACUGUCGAUCUGGAGUAUGGAAGAGGUGAGUGGAAUUCCGAGUGUAGAGGUGAAAUUCGUAGAUAUUCGGAGGAACACCAGUGGCGAAGGCGGCUCACUGGUCCAUUACUGACGCUGAGGUGCUAAAGCGUGGGGAGCAAACAGG
This 253-nucleotide ribosomal RNA is filed under the name uncultured bacterium. RNAcentral describes it as "partial 16S ribosomal RNA". It matches the Rfam family "Bacterial small subunit ribosomal RNA", at positions 524 to 776 of the family's 1533-position model. The record is from RNAcentral.